RNAcentral lists this long non-coding RNA (8296 nucleotides) under Harpegnathos saltator (Jerdon's jumping ant). RNAcentral describes it as "uncharacterized LOC112590363". Lineage: Eukaryota; Metazoa; Arthropoda; Insecta; Hymenoptera; Formicidae. The record is from RNAcentral.
UAUAAUGAUAUAAGAUCAUGCAAAAAUGUUCAUAAAUGUUGUAAAAACUUACUAUGUAUGAUGUAGAUGUUUGCUGAUGAUCCAGAUUUUCACAAAUUCACAUUUUUUAAUUAAAAAAAAUGCCUUUCCCUUAGUUUGAGGGGUUCGUCACCCUGUGAGGGUCUUCCAGAUAUAGUGGUCCGUCUUGGCACAUGGAACUUCUGAAAAAUUUCUCUGAUGAGAAUCAGUUGGAAAAUAGCAUGUGUAAUAUUUUCACCAGUAUGUACAUUAUACAAAAUAUUUGAGUUUAGAACAGUGAGAUCCAAGAGUCAAUUUUACUUUUCCGCGCAAAGCUUGAAGCUCGGAUAUUAACUCCCGAGAUAAGCGAGGCAAAGUCAACAGCGUCAAAUAACCCGUCAGCAAACGACGUUUGUUAUCGUAACGAUCGGAUAACAUUCGCCAUGCGCCUGGGAAGUUAUCUGCUGUAACAGCGAAAUCAGCGAGACAUUCGAGAGCGCGACCACGAAGAAACGAAACUAAGAAGUGCAUUCUCUUUCAGCGUACGGAAACAAGCAGAACAAGGAAAAAAGUUAAAAAAAUAUAUAAAACAAAAAAUAUAACAAAAUAUAAAAGGAUAAGACAAAAAAAACAAAAAUAUAGAAAAUAUAAAAAAUUAAAUACAUAAAAUGGAACCAAUAUCUCGUCGUAUCCUCGUUGCGGUUUUGGGUUCGGCAGAGAUUAAUAGAAGCAAGAGUUUAAAUCAAUUUGCCUUUCUGUUAUGUAGCAGUGUAAUAAGAUUAACAAUUUAUCUAAUGGGAGGCUAAGUCGGUUUAUAGAGUAGCAUUGUAAAACGAUUAAUAGUUUAGGUAAUGAAAUGUUAAACGAGUUUCCUAAUUAAACACUAUUUAACCCCCCAUCCCUCCUUCCAGGUCCAUAUACACACACACCCUCUCCCCUACAAACGCACACACACACACACAUGUACAACCCUCGUUAUCCCCCUCUUUAACCGUCCUCUCCAUAUAUAAACACGUCGGAUGCAUUUUUGUUUUGUGGUAGUUCCUUUCAGCCAAUUUCAUAUUACCUACCCAAGCCCCCUCCCCCACACACAGUUGAUUACACCUUCCCUUGCACAUACAUACGUAUGUGCAAGGGAAGGUGUAAGCAAUUAUGUAUUACGAUGCUAUUUUCUAGGCGCCGGCAAACUCCCGCCAGUCCACGCGUCACGGCCCUUCACACAUACCAAAGAAACGACAGUUGUGGGCCAGAUGUGAAUAGCCGCACCAUUCACCAACGCUAAUCGCAAAAAAAAGUGUGACCGCGACGCGGGAUUCCGACGGGACCGGUAGCUCGGAGCGGUUUUAAGUCGGUAGACGAGAUGAGUUCGGCCGGAAAUUGGGAAAGCAUAAAGAAAGAUAACGAGCGGCGUUCUGCAGGUUGAGAUCACAAUUUAUCGUCGCGGGGAUCGGCACGCUUCGAAAUUCCGCGGGACGAUACAAGUUUCCUCCGCUCUUUCCCGCGAAAUCGAUACUGCUCGGCGCGACACAAUUUCUUUUCGGACAGGACACGUAAAAAAAAGCGGGACAUCGAAAAUGACAGCAGGUGGUUGAUCUUACAAAAUCAGGAACCUCCUGGCGGCGUAGUCUUUGCGGGUCGUCGGACGGUUUGCUCUCUCCUCUCGGACGCAGGUCCCGGCAGUCGGAUCGUGCUCGAUAGUCCGGGGGUGGCGACUUCGGCACAAGGUCGUAGCAUCUCUUCCCUCGGGAGCGAGAGGGUCACCCAAACUUGUUUUUUUUUCGAGAGCGGGACAUCAAAAUCUCUCCGUCGAGAGCGGAACACAAGAAGAAAUCUCUUUUUUCGUAGCAACACACGAAUCUAAUCUGCCUCUUCUCGCGACGAAAGCUGAUCUGCCUUUUCUUUUUCCGCACGAAAAACGGAAUCUCUCUUUCUUUUGUUUCCCUCUUUCGGGAGGGGUUCCUCUCUCCCCGUUCUUCGCUCUUCCGACGGGACAGGAAUCCUUCCGCGGAUCCGUAUUGUUGAUGCGCGUUACGUAUGCCCUCUCUCUCUCUCUCUCUCUCUCUCUCUUUCUCUCUCUCGGCCUCUGUCUCGCUCGUUGUUCCGCGAGCAUUGUCUUCGGGUCCGUCUAGCCGCUGUUUUUCGGCGAGCGGCCACGCGCCGUGGUCGUGCUCGACGGUAUCCCGCUUCACUCGUUCCGUCUCCUUCCGUGUUGUCAUCGUUGUUGUCACCGGCGGGAGACGACUACCACCCAGGGAGCCGUCGUGCAGGAGAUCCCGCCCAUGGUGGACGCCUCCAACCAGACGCACAAGUCAGUACAAGUCGCGCACUACAUGCAGACGCAAAAGCAAACGGAAGACUGGUGGGACCUCUGAGAGGACUUGCUGAUGCAGUCCAGGCAGCAGGCCGCCGACGAAUUCAGGGAGUGUCGCUUGCCUGCCGAGAGGACAACAAAUACGGCAGCGAUAAUCUCUUUCGGGACGGCAUAAAAUUUCCUAAUACGAAAAGAGAAACGAGAGCAAUCACCUGAUUGUGCCGUGUCUGAUGAUGAGCGACGUCCGAUGAAUUCUUCCUGCUCCUGAUGGUCGGCUCGGAAGGUCCAGGGGCACAAAACUGUGGGACGCGAGACCGUCCACCUGCACGCUCGUAACACUAACGAUUAUAUCAAUUAAGAGGGGUUUUCGGGGAGUUAAUUCGGACUUCCCAUAAAUCGCACACCAAGUUCUUACAUCCCUUCCUGCGUCGCGACCGAUGGUUUGCAUACUGGUGACGGGCGCCACCACGACUGUCACGUCACAGCUCCCCUCUCCCCGGAAAAACCUGAAAGGUCUUGUCGCGAUCCACGCCGCCGAUCGUCCACCUGCUGUACCUCCGGUCUCUCUCGCGAGUCUCGGCACGAAGUAGCCGACUAGAGUCACUGACAGAGUCCUCGAUAUUCUCGUGGGUUUGUAGGGAAAAAAGGGGGGGGGAAGGAAAGAUAAAAGCGUUUCGAGCUUACUUUGUCGCUUUAUUCAGGAUACACAAAAAAUUCCCGUAAUCACAAAAGAACCAAAAAAUUCGAAAGAGGAGAAAGGAGAAAAAAUAAGAAAAAUAGAAAAAUAAAAAAAGAUAAAAAAAAUUCCUCUCGGAAACGAUACGCGGGACCGGCCCGCGGAAGCGGUAUCUCUCGGCUGGGUGUCCCUUUACCUCUUCCUCCGGAAUUCCUCAUAGCAACGAGAACAGUCGCUAAGACAGGUCCCCGGCUCUCCGCACAGGCGGCAAAUAUUGAUAUGCCGGUUCUGCAUACACGCGGAGUACCGGUGGCCGGGACUGUCACAAUUCCAGCAGCCUCCUCCCUGCACGCGUGAUCGCAACGUUCUAGUCGUCGUCGUCCCUCGUUGCGAAGUGGUGACCUUCGAGGCUGGCGAUGCCGCGGAUCUCGGGCUGGGCAGGGCGGAUCCCGGGCUGGGCAGGGCGGAUCCCUUCCUCUCGACAGGCAACUGACGAUACUCCCUGGAUUCGUCGGCGGCCUGCUGCCUGGACUGCAUCAGCAAGUCCUCGCAGAGGUCCCACCAGCCUUCCGUUUGCGUUUGCGUCUGCAUGUGGUGCGCGACUUUUACUAAUGAGUGCGUCUGGUUGGAGGCAUCCACCAUGGGCGGGAUCUCCUGCACGACGGCUCCCUGGGUGGUAGUCAUCUCCCGCCGGUGCGUCUCCCAGAUGUCGCGAAAUCCCGUCCAGAAAUCCGGGUGGUCCUGGAUGAUCCGGAAAAUUUCCCGGUACCGGCGACGGAAGUUCUCCCACUGGCGACGGGUCUCCGACAUCGUCCUUUCUUCUCCUCGCGAUACGGUACGGUAACUCUACAAGAGAGGCAAGAGUUCCACGUAUGGUUUUAAUUCUUUUACGUGAACUUUUUCGAGCGGCUUCCCGUCCAGUCGCACGAGCUCACACACCACCGCCGACCGCACUCUAACGAUCUUAAGCGGCCCGUCGUACUUGGACGCUAGCUUGGCGGCCGUGUGAUGAGCUGCGGACGAGAGUACGUGUUGUCGCUUUCGCACCAAAUCGCCCGUUCUAUGUGUAACGGGACGCUUCCGUAAAUUGUACCGCGCGGACUGUCGUUGGUACGCCAUUUCCAGAUUUCUAGAAUCUCGUUCUCCUUCGCGAAUUGCUCGAUCUCUUUAUUCACGAACUCGGUACCGUUAUCUGUCAGCAACACCUUCGGUGUUCCCCAGCGCGAGAUUACUAAGUCGUCGAGAGCUGCCCGUAUGAGCUUUCCUUUCGCGCUCCGCAAGGGCCGGCACUGCAUCCAUUUUGAGAAUAAAUCCUGAAUCACUAAAAGAUAGGAGUAACCGGCCCGGCUGCGCGGUAAUGGGCCCAUAAUAUCGGCAACGACCACUGUCCAGGGUUUUUCGACAACUCUUCGUCCCAUCAGGCCGGCAGGGGCUUACUGGUUAGGGUACUUCUCCUAGCCUCUGUCCCCGCGCCCCCGACUCGAGCGGUCGUCCCUGCCAAUCGACGCGUCGUCUCUUCGGCGCGUGGACGCUCGCUCUCGAUACGCGUCUCUCGCCCCGACGCACGGGAAUUCGUUAUCUGCUCGGCCGUCAUGGUUGUAGACGGCUGAGACGAGCGCGGCGGCGGCCGGUAAGCGAGAUCCGGACACACGGAUCUCUAGGGAGGCGGCAAUGCGCGAUAUUGGCUCGCGGACGCGUAACUUCUUUCGACACGAGUGGCGAACCUCUCCAACGCGUCAAAGUUUUCGAAGUCGUCACGGUGCACGGCGAUCUGUAACUUCGGGAGCAUAUGUCGGUGCGCGUAAUUUAAUUGCUCGACCUCACUCCACGGAGGGUCGAGCUGGCUGAAUAGCCUGAGAAUACGAAACACGAAAAACGAGAAGCUGCGCGAGACGUAUCUUCGCUAAAAAAAAACCGUAACGUCUCGAUAUUCGCUGCGUUCUCGGUUCCCUUUGUUCUUAAAAUUUUUCUCUUUUCCAGCGGGAUAGCGGAAAUUGACUAUCAUAUACUCGAUGCCUCCGACACCCUCUCGAGCAGCUCGGAGCUGCCCUCCCAAUGGGGGAUCCACCGCAUCAUGCUUCUGCCGUUCGCCCGUCGUCACAAACUAUCGAGUCGGUCGACUCGGUCCAGAACUGCCGCUGGCCGCCCUUCUGGAAAAGCAACCCAGAGCUCUGGUUCCUGCAGGUCGAGGCCGUGUACCAGGCCUUACGAGUUCGUAGAGAUGAAACCAAAUACAGCCUCGCUGUCUCACUGCUCGACCCCGACACGCUGCAGGAAUUGUCCGACGUCAUCAGGUCACCGCCUUCCGACGGGAAAUAUGAUCAUUUAAAGGCCACGAUCCUGAGCCGUUUCUCGGACUCGACGGAUCGCCAAUUGCUCCGCCUUCUCACUCAGCUUGAACUAGGCGACCGGAAGCCUUCACAGCUCCUGCGCCAAAUGCGCACGUUGGCCGGUAGCAGAGUCUCUGACGACGUUGUGCGGGUCAAAUGAUUGGACCUUCUACCUGUCGGAAUGCAGCGCAUCCUUAAGGUCCUCAAAUCGCACGACCUGGAAGAACUGGCUGCCGCCGCAGAUGAGCUAUUGGGAAGCGGGCUUGGUUUCUUAAUUACAGAAACACACGCCUCACCAAAUGUUUGCGCUUCGUGCUCGUCACCUCGAGCACCGCGGUCGCCGCCUCAACCUGACGUCGCCGCUGAGCUGUCGGCCAUCCGACAGGCGCUUGCACAGCUCACUUCAUCCCAACAUGACGUACUUCUCCGGCUGGACACAAUGAUUUCUCACGAGGCCUCACGUUCCUCGUCGCGAGGGCGUCCCGAGCCGCGCGCUCGGUCGCCGUCCGUAGGACAGCGGCCAGGGUGGUGCUACCAUCACCGUCGCUGGGGAACUGAUGCCCAGCGCUGUAUUAUGCCGUGUACCUUCCGUGGUGCAGCCUCGUCGCCGAGAAACUAGUCGCGCUCGCGCCGGACCAGCCGCCGAGCGCGGAGCGCCCUUUCCGGAGAAUCGGCUGCACGUCUUCGAGAGAGUGACCAGUUUCAAGUUUCUGAUGGACUCCGGCUCCGUCGUCUCCUUGCUGCCAAAAACGUGAGUCAAAGGCCGACUCGCUCUUUAGAAGCUUACGCUGCUUGCUGCUAAUGCCUCACCGAUCGCUACAUACGGAACCCACACCAUGGUUCUCAAUUUAUCGCUGCGCCGCGAUUUCGAGUGGCGUUUCAUCGUCGCCGACGUCAAGACCGCAAUCCUGGGAGCCGACUUUUUGGCGAACUUCGGUCGCCUGGUCGACGUCGGCGGCCGACGCCUCCUCGACUUCGUCCUCGGCCUCCUCUCCAGACGCCCUGACCUGCAGCGGCUCCCGCCGCCUUCUCCGUCGGCGCUCCUGAUCUGCGGCUAUCCGUUGCCUCCUCUCCAGAAUGCCCGGAUUUGCAGCAGCUCUCUCCGUCGGAGCUCCUGACCUGUGGCUGUCCGCCGCCUCCUUCCCUUCCUCCGGACCUGCAGCGACUCCCACCGCCUUCUUUGCCGGCGCUCCUGACUUGCGGCUUUCCGCCGCCUUCUUUCUGACGCUCGAAUCUUCAGCAAGAAGACAACGAGAGUUUGUUGAAAAACAACAGCAGCUGAGUCUGUCACAAGCCAUCGCCACGAGCAGACGUGAUCUAGAUGUUUCUUUUUAAUACUAUUAAGACGAGAGGAUAUUAGUGAGUCUGUACUCACUUAUCACAUAUUGGAAGUAAGGCCGGUGCUAGCAGCGCAUCAUGUGACUCCCAGGGCUUUCAGGCUCAAGAACUUUGACACGUGGUCCCACGUGUUCAAGAGGAUUGACCAGCUAUAGCCUGAACUCGCUGCGGCAGGGGCUGAUAUCCCCGCUGGGACACUUCAAAUCCGAGGUAGAUGACUCGAUCUCGACCGAAGACGCACUUGUCCGAGCUGCUCGAGAGGGUGUCGGUAAUCAGCGUUAGCGGUGCUGAGUGCUGCAGAAAGGCGGGUGCGACGGCAGCGACGAUGCUGCCUCGAUGUAAGCCUCGAAUGCUCUCUUCCAUUCUUCCGUCCACGGCACCUCGGAUUUGUCUUUUUUCUUAGCCACCUUGAAGAACUCGUGAAGGGGUGCUUGGAGUUGCGCAGCUCUCGGUAUGCAACGCCGAUAGAAGUUAAGCAUCCCGAGAAAUCUACGGAGGUCGGCUACCGUCCGAGGUAGCUGGAAUUCAUGGAUAGCUGGAAUUCAUGGACGCUCGCAGGCCUCUGGAACCACCCUACACAGGGCCCCACGAGGUCGUGAGGAGAGUCAACGAGCGCACCUUCAUCAUCCGGAUCAACGACGGCGAGAGAACAGUAUCAACGGACUGCCUCAAGCCGGCUUUCAUUGCCUAGGCGGACGAGGCUCGAGACCGGGAACAACCCAAGAGAGUUUCGUUCCUUUCGUCCCCGCGAGGAACUAGGGAGGGAGUGGAUGUGGCGGGCCUUUCCCGCCAUCUGUUGCAUAGCCAGGUGACCCGCAGCCAAGCCGUCGGAAGCAGACGUUUCAGCCGAGAGCGCUCUUCUAAUUCCGUUUUGUUUUUGUUCGCGACCAUGUGCCGAGCACGCACGUGUCAGAAGUCGACAUCGAGACACGGCACCGGACAGACCUCGUGUGAGUUCUACGCGUCGUGACUCUCGCUUCUUUUUGCGUAUUCGCCGGAUCUUUGAGUGCGGAGAAGUGCGCGGCUACACGCGUCUAUGACGCCGUCGAGCAGUGCCGUCGCCGCAUCCGAGACCGAACAGACGUCGCCGUGUGCCGGUCCUUCGGCCCCUGCGAGCCGCUACUCACGAGCUGCCCUGCUGCCCUUGUUCAAGGAGUCGGGGGCACGAGGAAGCCUACUUCGAGCGUCGCACCGUUGCGCGACGGCAGCGUGCCCCAGCGAGGAGUGGUAAUAAAGACUCAUUUUGGUGAAUCGCUCGUUGAUUGUGUCCCUACGCGGGGCCGUGCCCAGCUCGACUUACACGCGCCAAGGGCACGAGUGUCGUGUUCCCUAUCCUAUCUCCCUUGUGGGGAAAGGGCCGCUGCCUGGGAGAAGUGGUGACCCCUACAUGUUAUAAUAAAUAAGUACAGCGAUAAAUGUAAUGAUAAGUUAAGAAAGAGCUGUGAUAAUAAGUGUGCAACGGCGACGCGCAGCGUAGUGUAGCGACGGCAACAACGCGCGAGAAAAACAAACGAGAAUCACGACGGCAGCAGGCGUCAAAACAGAGAUGCGUAUGCGACAAUAUGCGAGUUAGUUCUUCGACGAGCGGGCAGAAACAAAGAGUUGGAAGAGUCGAGUCAAGCGAGUCAACCGAUAUAGAGUAGC